GAUGAAGAACGUAGCGAAAUGCGAUAAGUAAUGGGAAUUGCAGAAUUCAGUGAAUCAUCGAAUCUUUGAACGCACAUUGCGCCCGCCAGUAUUCUGGCGGGCAUGCCUGUUCGAGCGUCAUUACAACCCUCAGGCCCCCGGGCCUGGCGUUGGGGAUCGGCGGAGCCCCCCGUGGGCACACGCCGUCCCCCAAAUGCAGUGGCGGUCCCGCCGCAGCUUCCAUCGCGUAGUAGCUAACACCUCGCGACUGGAGAGCGGCGCGGCCACGCCGUAAAACACCCAACUCUUCUGAAGUUGACCUCGAAUCAGGUAGGAAUACCCGCUGAACUUAAGCAUAUCAAUAAGCGGAGGA
This 352-nucleotide unclassified non-coding RNA is filed under the name soil metagenome. RNAcentral's name for it is "partial contains 5.8S ribosomal RNA, internal transcribed spacer 2, and large subunit ribosomal RNA". The stretch from base 1 to 120 matches the Rfam family "5.8S ribosomal RNA", at positions 35 to 154 of the family's 154-position model. The record is from RNAcentral.